CAGUAGCCGCGGUAAUGCGUAGGUGGCAAGCGUUGUCCGGAAUUAUUGGGCGUAAAGGGCUCGCAGGCGGUUUCUUAAGUCUGAUGUGAAAGCCCCCGGCUCAACCGGGGAGGGUCAUUGGAAACUGGGAAACUUGAGUGCAGAAGAGGAGAGUGGAAUUCCACGUGUAGCGGUGAAAUGCGUAGAGAUGUGGAGGAACACCAGUGGCGAAGGCGACUCUCUGGUCUGUAACUGACGCUGAGGAGCGAAAGCGUGGGGAGCGAACAGGAUUAGAGACCCCCGUAGUCCCUGUCUCUUAUAA
Molecule: ribosomal RNA, 301 nt
Filed under: uncultured bacterium
Lineage: Bacteria
Description: partial 16S ribosomal RNA
Rfam family: Bacterial small subunit ribosomal RNA
Source: RNAcentral